This 1016-nucleotide ribosomal RNA is filed under the name Staphylococcus aureus. Its description in RNAcentral is "bacterial SSU rRNA". It matches the Rfam family "Bacterial small subunit ribosomal RNA", at positions 62 to 1057 of the family's 1533-position model. Lineage: Bacteria; Bacillati; Bacillota; Bacilli; Caryophanales; Staphylococcaceae. The record is from RNAcentral.
UCGAGCGAACGGACGAGAAGCUUGCUUCUCUGAUGUUAGCGGCGGACGGGUGAGUAACACGUGGAUAACCUACCUAUAAGACUGGGAUAACUUCGGGAAACCGGAGCUAAUACCGGAUAAUAUUUUGAACCGCAUGGUUCAAAAGUGAAAGACGGUCUUGCUGUCACUUAUAGAUGGAUCCGCGCUGCAUUAGCUAGUUGGUAAGGUAACGGCUUACCAAGGCAACGAUGCAUAGCCGACCUGAGAGGGUGAUCGGCCACACUGGAACUGAGACACGGUCCAGACUCCUACGGGAGGCAGCAGUAGGGAAUCUUCCGCAAUGGGCGAAAGCCUGACGGAGCAACGCCGCGUGAGUGAUGAAGGUCUUCGGAUCGUAAAACUCUGUUAUUAGGGAAGAACAUAUGUGUAAGUAACUGUGCACAUCUUGACGGUACCUAAUCAGAAAGCCACGGCUAACUACGUGCCAGCAGCCGCGGUAAUACGUAGGUGGCAAGCGUUAUCCGGAAUUAUUGGGCGUAAAGCGCGCGUAGGCGGUUUUUUAAGUCUGAUGUGAAAGCCCACGGCUCAACCGUGGAGGGUCAUUGGAAACUGGAAAACUUGAGUGCAGAAGAGGAAAGUGGAAUUCCAUGUGUAGCGGUGAAAUGCGCAGAGAUAUGGAGGAACACCAGUGGCGAAGGCGACUUUCUGGUCUGUAACUGACGCUGAUGUGCGAAAGCGUGGGGAUCAAACAGGAUUAGAUACCCUGGUAGUCCACGCCGUAAACGAUGAGUGCUAAGUGUUAGGGGGUUUCCGCCCCUUAGUGCUGCAGCUAACGCAUUAAGCACUCCGCCUGGGGAGUACGACCGCAAGGUUGAAACUCAAAGGAAUUGACGGGGACCCGCACAAGCGGUGGAGCAUGUGGUUUAAUUCGAAGCAACGCGAAGAACCUUACCAAAUCUUGACAUCCUUUGACAACUCUAGAGAUAGAGCCUUCCCCUUCGGGGGACAAAGUGACAGGUGGUGCAUGGUUGUCGUCA